AUUUAAGUAGCUUAAAAUAAAGAGCUCAGUAUUGAAGAUACUAAGGUGAUUAUUAAAUCCUUAAAUA
Molecule: transfer RNA, 67 nt
Filed under: Diploptera punctata (Pacific beetle cockroach)
Lineage: Eukaryota; Metazoa; Arthropoda; Insecta; Blattodea; Blaberidae
Description: tRNA-Phe
Source: RNAcentral